GACGAACGCUGGCGGCGUGCUUAACACAUGCAAGUCGAACGGUAAGGCCCUUCGGGGUACACGAGUGGCGAACGGGUGAGUAACACGUGGGUGAUCUGCCCUGCACUUCGGGAUAAGCCUGGGAAACUGGGUCUAAUACCGGAUAGGACCCUGGGAUGCAUGUCCUGGGGUGGAAAGCUUUUGCGGUGUGGGAUGGGCCCGCGGCCUAUCAGCUUGUUGGUGGGGUAAUGGCCUACCAAGGCGACGACGGGUAGCCGGCCUGAGAGGGUGACCGGUCACACUGGGACUGAGAUACGGCCCAGACUCCUACGGGAGGCAGCAGUGGGGAAUAUUGCACAAUGGGCGCAAGCCUGAUGCAGCGACGCCGCGUGAGGGAUGACGGCCUUCGGGUUGUAGACCUCUUUCAGCUAUGACGAAGCGCAAGUGACGGUAGUAGCAGAAGAAGGACCGGCCAACUACGUGCCAGCCGCCGCCGUAA
Molecule: ribosomal RNA, 478 nt
Filed under: uncultured bacterium
Lineage: Bacteria
Description: partial 16S ribosomal RNA
Rfam family: Bacterial small subunit ribosomal RNA
Source: RNAcentral